UGGGGAAUAUUGCACAAUGGGCGCAAGCCUGAUGCAGCCAUGCCGCGUGUGUGAAGAAGGCCUUCGGGUUGUAAAGCACUUUCAGCGAGGAGGAAGGUGGUGAGCUUAAUACGCUCAUCAAUUGACGUUACUCGCAGAAGAAGCACCGGCUAACUCCGUGCCAGCAGCCGCGGUAAUACGGAGGGUGCAAGCAUUAAUCGGAAUUACUGGGCGUAAAGCGCACGCAGGCGGUUUGUUAAGUCAGAUGUGAAAUCCCCGGGCUCAACCUGGGAACUGCAUUUGAAACUGGCAAGCUAGAGUCUCGUAGAGGGGGGUAGAAUUCCAGGUGUAGCGGUGAAAUGCGUAGAGAUCUGGAGGAAUACCGGUGGCGAAGGCGGCCCCCUGGACGAAGACUGACGCUCAGGUGCGAAAGCGUGGGGCAGCAAACAGGAUUAGAUACCCUGGUAGUCCACGCUGUAAACGAUGUCGAUUUGGAGGUUGUGCCCUUGAGGCGUGGCUUCCGGAGCUAACGCGUUAAAUCGACCGCCUGGGGAG
RNAcentral lists this ribosomal RNA (534 nucleotides) under uncultured bacterium. Its description in RNAcentral is "partial 16S ribosomal RNA". It matches the Rfam family "Bacterial small subunit ribosomal RNA", at positions 355 to 880 of the family's 1533-position model. The record is from RNAcentral.